GGUGAUGCUUCUUGGAUUGUUUUGAUGACGUAGAAUGGAAUUUGGGGGGUGUAGAGGCACGGCAAGGGUUGUAGGAUGAGUGGUGGAUGGAUGGAAGAUGGUGGAAAGCUCGGCAAGAAUGGUGGAAAGGUGCGGCAGAUUAUAGAACUAGGGUUUCUAGAAUUUUGAAUGAAUGUAGCAGGUUGUUUGGGAUGGUUUUGGAUGAGGUUGAAUGGUGGAAAAGUGUCUAGGAUGGGUGUAUGGCACGGCUAGGGGGGUUUGGGGUCAGAAACUAUGGAGUUUUGUGAAGGAUAGGUGCGGUUAGGGAUGGUGGAUGAAUUCUGGCGUGAAUGGAGUUGUAUGGAUGUGUGUGGAAUGUUUUGUGGCUGCAACAAGGAGGUUUAUUUAAAGGAAAACAGAAAUUAAAACCCUAGGUUGAUUAGGAAAUCAGAAAUUAAGUCUAAGGAUUCUAGAAUUAGGAAAUAAAUCAGAAAAUUAAAGGAAAGAGCAAGGGAAAUUCGGCUAGGGUUUAAAACACAAAAGGAAGGUGUUUUAAAGCAUAAAAACAGGAAAUAAGGAAGAGGAAAUGCAAAGGGGGGGUGCGGCAAGGGUUCAAAAGGGUUCCAGGCUUUUGUUUUGUGUCCUAGAAUGCUUAGAAAGUCUUCAUAAUUGCUGGAACUUUUAGGGACAUUUAGGAAAAAUCAAACCAAAGUAGGAAACUUUGGCUUAACUUUCCUAUUUCAAGUAGGAAUCCUUGUUGGAGUAGGAAUCCUUGUUCUUCUAGGAAUCCUCAUGUGAUUAGGAAUCCAUCUUCCAUUAGGAAUCCUUCUUGGAGUAGGAAUCCUUCGUCGAUUAGGAAUCCUUCUUCAAUUAGGAAUCCUUCUUCAUGUAAGCACUUUCCUACUUCAACUAGGAAACCUUGUUCAAGUAGGAAUCAUCAUCUUCAAAUCUUCAAAUUCGUCCAAACCUUGGCUCCAAUUAUGUGAUAAUCAUUCCAAGCCCAAUUUUUCUCCAAAAAACUCCAAAAUGCAUCUUCUUGCAUCCUUUGGCCUUAAAACCUGAAAACACAUAAAACUAGCUUAAAAGACUA
This 1069-nucleotide long non-coding RNA is filed under the name Malus domestica (apple). RNAcentral describes it as "long non-coding RNA (MDOM_LNC020197)". The record is from RNAcentral. Lineage: Eukaryota; Viridiplantae; Streptophyta; Magnoliopsida; Rosales; Rosaceae.